CAAUAGCGUAUAUUAAAGUUGUUGCAGUUAAAAAGCUCGUAGUUGGAUUUCUGAUCGAGACAUCAGGUCGGGUCCGAGAGGAUCAUGUACUUUGAUUUUGUUUUGAUCAUCCUUGGGGAGAGCAUUUCUGGCAUUCAGUCGUCGGGAUUGGGAUCCUCAUCGUUUACUGUGAAAAAAUUAGAGUGUUCAAAGCAGGCCUCGGCCUCUGAAUACAUUAGCAUGGAAUAAUAAGAUAGGACUUUGGUGGUCUAUUUUGUUGGUUUGCACGCCAAAGUAAUGAUUAAUAGGGAUAGUUGGGGGUAUUCGUAUUCAAUUGUCAGAGGUGAAAUUCUUGGAUUUAUGGAAGACGAACUACUGCGAAAGCAUUUACCAAGGAUGUUUUCAUUAA
This 388-nucleotide ribosomal RNA is filed under the name uncultured eukaryote. RNAcentral describes it as "partial 18S ribosomal RNA". It matches the Rfam family "Eukaryotic small subunit ribosomal RNA", at positions 592 to 976 of the family's 1831-position model. The record is from RNAcentral.